Molecule: ribosomal RNA, 496 nt
Filed under: uncultured bacterium
Lineage: Bacteria
Description: partial 16S ribosomal RNA
Rfam family: Bacterial small subunit ribosomal RNA
Source: RNAcentral
AUUGAACGCUGGCGGUAUGCCUUACACAUGCAAGUCGAACGGUAGAGGGGCAACCCUUGAGAGUGGCGAACGGGUGAGUAAUACAUCGGAACGUGCCCAGUCGUGGGGGAUAACGUAGCGAAAGCUACGCUAAUACCGCCUACGACCCGAGGGUGAAAGCGGGGGACUCGCAAGGGCCUCGCGCGCUUUGAGCGGCCGAUGGCAGAGUAGGUAGUUGGUGGGGUAAAGGCGCACCAAGCCUGCGAUCUGUAGCUGGUCUGAGAGGACGACCGGCCGCACUGUGACUGAGACACGGCCCAGACUCCUACGGGAGGCAGCAGUGGGGAAUUUUGGACAAUGGGCGAAAGUCUGAUCCAGCCAGACCGCGUGCGGGAAGAAGGCCCUCGGGUUGUAAACCGCUUUUGUCAGGGAAGAAAUCUUCUGGGUUAAUACCUCGGGAGGAUGACGGUACCUGAAGAAUAAGCACCGGCUAACUACGUGCCAGCCGCCGCAGUAA